RNAcentral lists this ribosomal RNA (425 nucleotides) under uncultured prokaryote. RNAcentral describes it as "bacterial SSU rRNA". It matches the Rfam family "Bacterial small subunit ribosomal RNA", at positions 960 to 1386 of the family's 1533-position model. The record is from RNAcentral.
CGCGAAGAACCUUACCAGGUCUUGACAUCCUUUGACCACUCUAGAGAUAGAGCUUCCCCUUCGGGGGCAAAGUGACAGGUGGUGCAUGGUUGUCGUCAGCUCGUGUCGUGAGAUGUUGGGUUAAGUCCCGCAACGAGCGCAACCCUUAUUGUUAGUUGCCAUCAUUCAGUUGGGCACUCUAGCAAGACUGCCGGUGACAAACCGGAGGAAGGUGGGGAUGACGUCAAAUCAUCAUGCCCCUUAUGAUUUGGGCUACACACGUGCUACAAUGGAUGGUACAAAGGGCAGCAAAACCGCGAGGUCAAGCAAAUCCCAUAAAACCAUUCUCAGUUCGGAUUGUAGUCUGCAACUCGACUACAUGAAGCUGGAAUCGCUAGUAAUCGUAGAUCAGCAUGCUACGGUGAGUACGUUCCCGGGUCUUGUAC